RNAcentral lists this long non-coding RNA (1017 nucleotides) under Papio anubis (olive baboon). Its description in RNAcentral is "lncRNA (ENSPANG00000047010.1)". The record is from RNAcentral. Lineage: Eukaryota; Metazoa; Chordata; Mammalia; Primates; Cercopithecidae.
AUGGGCCCAGCAGAUGGUGGGCUCUCCGCAGUGCUUUCCUGCCAUUUUAAAGUCUCUUUUAAGACGAGUGUUCACCGGGUUGCACACUUUAAAUGGUUAAUUGUAUGUUAUGCGAAUUUCACUCCAGUAAGAUUUUUCUCCACUGUCUGCCCUUUAGCCCACUCACACUCCCUCACACACACUUGCACACUCACACACUCACACAGCACACUCACACAUUUGCACACUCUCACACACUCGUUCAUGCUUGCACACUCACUAACUCACACUUGCACACUCACGCUCACACACGUUUGCACACUCGCACUUGCACGUUCACAUACAUUUGCACACUCGUACACUCGCUCACACUUGCUUGAUCACACACUCACUCACAUUUGCACACUCGCUCACACUUGCACACUCACACACUGCACUCGCACACACACUCGCUCACACUUGCACAAUCACACACUUCCACUCACACACAUUUGCACGCUAGGACACACUCGCUCACGCUUGCACACUCACAUACUUCACUCUUGCACACACUUAUACACAUCCACACACACUUACACACUCACACACUCAUACUCACUCUCGCUCACACAAGGACUAGCAGGUCCACUGCAUCCCAAGAGGGACAUAGAGACACAGGGGGGACGCCAAGAUGAUCCCCCAAACUCUCUCCCUGGAACCCCACUGACCUUUUCAAGGGGCUGUCAGAGAAGGGAACUCACUGGAUUAAGGCGGAGAACAGGACCCAGGUGGAGGAGGCCAGGCUGGGGACUCCCGGAUAAGUGGGGAAGAGGAGAGACACCAGCCCCUAGGACCACGCCCAGACCUGUGGGGCCGCGCGUCAGGGAGCCCUGCACAGUCCUGGGAGAGCAGGGGCAGCCAGGGUGGGAGGGGGGCUCUCGAGUGAGAGGAGAGGGUCCACGCUCGCCUGUUACCACAUUGAAAACUCACACCUCUGCAAAGGUGUACUAUGUCCUCAGCCUGCAGCUGGGUAAACUGAGGCCCAGAGAAACAAACUGA